Long non-coding RNA from Myotis myotis, 4865 nucleotides. RefSeq lists it as uncharacterized. The transcript is spliced from 2 exons. NCBI's taxonomy places the organism in Eukaryota, Metazoa, Chordata, Mammalia, Chiroptera, Vespertilionidae. The record is from RefSeq and is a predicted model, not a curated record.
GACAACAUUAAACCCUGCAGAAGGUGUGACCUCAAGGACACUCCCCUCCAGGCUGUCCCUGGCUGGAAGGGAGGUUCUGGUGGGGGCCACCUUGAGCAGGAGGCCUGAGACCAGAUGUGAGACAGCUGAGCCCCAUGUGUGCCCCUUGUGACUUCACUGAUGGGCUCAGCACCACCUGGGGACAGGCCAAUGGGAAGCCUUGGCUGCAAAUCUGGAAAGGAUGUGGUCCUAGAGGCCUCCGUGCCCUGCCCCAGCCUAGCCCGGUUCCAGUUGCUGGCAGCUUGUCGCCAGGGGUGGCCCGGGUGUCAUCCUCACCCUAACGGCGAAUUGUGCUGGUCUCCCAGGGACUGCCGCCGCCCAGCACGGGUGGUGUGGUAGAAGACACCUCUGGCUUUGGGGCUUGGAGGCAUCUCCUGUGAGCUCAGCCUGUCCCUGGCCAGGCCACUGUCCAUGUCUGUUAGUUGCAGAAAAAGCAGUUCCCCGGGUGCCAGCAAGGAUCACCUUCCUUCGCUGUCACUGACCUUGAGAAGAGUGCCCGGGCGCCCGUGGAGACCCACCAGCCCGAUUUACGGAGGAUGGGCAGCGCCGGGGUCUCUGUCUGCACAGACUUUAUUUUGGAUAUUUCUGGGUGGGCAGUUUCUUUGCAUGUUUUGGGAGAGGUUUAUUGAUUUGGGGCUUCUCGGUUGGGCCCUGGGUUUUGGUCUUAUUUUAGGGGUUGUUUGGGGGCCUCAGGACGGUCAGCCUCACAGGGGACGGGAGGGGGGUGGGUGGGCUUUUCUGUUAGACUCUUGUGGGAGGUGGGUUGUUGUUUGUGUUUCACAUGUUCCCCUCCACAAGCUGGAGUCGUUUCGUUUGGUUUCCACUGUGUGGACAGUGCCUGAGGGGUUGGGGGCGGAGAAGCCCCCCCACUCCCAGACCGCGAGGCACCCACCUUCUGGUGCGAGCCCAGCCCAGGAGGGAGGAGGGUCUCGUUCAGGAGCGAAGGCGGCUCUUGGCUGCUGGGCGACCGCCAUUCUGUGUACAGUCUCCCACCUGGCAGGACCGAAAGCCUGAGGGGACCCCCCAACUGGGCCCCCGGGCCAGACUGGAGCAAACACCACCAGCCUGCCGGCGAUGCCACAGGGACCAAGGAGGUGGAGGACCCCAGACCAGGAGCUGACCUGGUCGUUCCGAGGGGCAGUGCCCCCGAGAAGAGAGAAGCGAGAGAAUAAAGUCCCUGUCGACUUCGGGUCUUUCGAUCAUUGACAUUUCGGAGGGGACCCUCCAGAAGCCAGCGGCUUCCCGAGGACUCACCCUUUGCUGGGAGUGGAUUUCCACACGUGCCUUUGACUUCGGACAGGUCAGGCGUCACAGCCGCCGAUUCAGCUGCCAGAAUCCUGGACAAGGGUUGGUGUUCUCUCUCUCCACCUGCUUCCCACCCAGGACGGAGAUGUUGCCUGAAGGUGAGCAUGGGACCCAGGUCUUGUGCCUUCCGUGCCCCAUGCGCCCCCUCCUGACCGUCCUCCCUCCCGUACACUGAAGCCUGGCAGCUAUAGCAAACUGCUCCUGUUCUCUGUUAAAGGGCCGUGCCAGCUGCUCAGAAAGACCUGUCCUAAAAGUCACUCACCAGCCCUCGCUCACCCCAGUCUCCUGAUGUUUGGGCCAUGAUCCUUUUGAUGUAUGUAUGUUUGAGUCUUUCUAAAACUAUGUAACCUCAGUUCAGUUUAUGGGCAGGAACCCUAGAUGUAACCAAAUCCUUUUUGGGGGAGGUGGGUGCCUUCAGCCCUGCCAUAUCCCAGUGAGACACCAAUUUCCACAAGCCUGCGGCUGGGCCUGGUGCUAACCUGGGCCACCCAUUCAUCUCAGUGACUGCAGCUGAGGAGUGAGCCCUGCCUCUGCUCAACACCCCAACAGUCAGUGCCCAGAGGGUCUCGGAGAAGCAGCUGAGGGGCCUACCCAGGUCUCUGCGGACAGAACUGCCCACAACAGGUACCAAGGCGGCGGCCUCCUAAGUUGGCACAGGCAGAGGAAGCAGCAGGGUGGGAAGUCUCUGGGUUCAAGCCCUUGGAGCUCGGCUCCUCGGCUCCAGGGACGGCCUUGCUGGUGUGUCCCCUCCACCUCCAGUACUGUAUGCUUGCUGCUCCAACCCGUUUGGUGCAUUCCUGUACAAAUACGGAUCUAUGUGCCAAGUGGGACUGUGCCCCCCUGUGUGGGUCUCUCCCCUUGGAGCAUCUACAUCUAUGUCCAACCUUUGAAAAUCUUGACGCAGAGCUCUCUGGAAAAGAGAACCAUCCACAUAACUAAAGAAUUAAGAUUCCCUCACUUUUUUGAGGGCUGUGUGUUGAGAAAGUGUGUGUGUGCGUAAGUGUGCCUGUGUGCGUGCAUGUGUGUAACUUCCCACUGUUACGAAGUAGGAUGGGGUUAGAGAAAACCAGCGGGCACGCUGUCUCCACUGUACAGUCCUUGGCAUUGGGCAGGCCCCACGGGACUCACAGCUUCGGGCAAGUGUGUGUUAUUCACACACGUAAUUCUGGCUGGAGAGUGCAAUGUGUCUUUUUAUUUUUUUGUAAUUAUUUUAUUAAGUAUUUAGUUGGAAACUUCACACUGGCAUUAACAGAUCUAGCAGAAGCAGCCUAGGCCAUCGUCCCGGGCUCCCAAAUAAAGUUGUGGAAAAGAGAUGCCGCUGAGUGUGUUACGCGGCAGGCCGACUCCCACCCGUUGCCAUGCAUGUCAUCACCGUGGGAUGAUGGCCCUCAGCUCUUGUUUCUGGGGAUGGUCAGGGCGAGAACUUGCUCACGGUGAGCUCAGCAGACCUGCAUGUGCAUGUACAUCAGCACCUGCCUAGACCUCGGGCCCUGUCACUUGAUGGGACUAGUGUGAAGGGUUCCCCCCUUGACCUUACUGAGAUUUCUGCCAAAAUCAUGAUCCCUGUUUGGGGCAGCCUCUGUGGUUCUCAUGCUCCGUGACCAGAGAAAGAUGGGGUCAGUGACCUAUUGCCUUAUUUCAGGAAAAGCAGCCCCACUGAUUUAAGCUUCCCUCCUGUUUUGUCCUGUGCACCUGGGCUCUCAGACAAGAAGUUGGGCACAUUGGUGCUUAUAGCCUGGGCAGGCCUGGUCCCAACCUGCCUUUAAGGUUGAGAUUGCCAUGCAUCUUCCUGACCAAUUCCUGCCUUUCUAAUCUUGAGUUUGCACUUGACCUUGACAAUCACCCACCCCAGUCCUAGAACUUAGUGGCCUUAGAGAGUGGGUCCCUGCGCUAAAGGUCCCUCCUUUGCAUCCCCAAGUUUCAUCCUGGCUAAUGGGGCUGGACUUCAGGAGGCAAGAGAGAGAGGAAUGAAUUGUUUUAAAGCAAAAGGAUGGAUCGAGCAUGUUGGAGACGAGCAAGAGGCAUGUCGGCAAGAUGAGUAUGUGCAUGUGUGGCUUAUUUGGGUGUCUGGGACUGACCGUCCCUUCUCUGGGAAGGUGGCUUCCAGAAGAGGGUGUCUAGGCAGAAAGGGAAAAGUGUGAGAAGGCUGAGAGAGGGUUUGGAGUCUUGUCUUUAUUAAAAAGAAGGAAGAAGUUGAUUCUAAGUGUUUCAGGAAGAAGAGAGCAGGUAAGGAGAGAAUUUAGUGAUUCAACACACAAGGGUCCAGCCAGAUCAGGUUGAAAUAAGGCUGGAGGAGCAGCUGGCCAGAGGAAACGCUACUUGCUGUGCCACAAACUGGGUCCCUAGCAAGUUCUUAAUGAACGGUCACUGAUUUACUCAGUGGAGAGAGUAAGUCACCAGCAACUACUUGUAUUUUUGAGUUUGGAGGCCCUGGAUCCAAAAUAUUCAUCCAUCUCCCAGGUUCCCAGCUGGUUUUGCCCACCUCUUUUUGUCUAAUACACAGCUAACCUCUCAAAUUGUUUAAAUCAAAGACUAGAGACCAAAAGGGUCAUGUAGUUAGAGACCCGCCACCCCCAAAUUGGAACCUCAGGAUCCAGAUACCAUCAAGCUCAUCUGGGAGGAAGGCAACCUUGUUUGUUCUUCUCAAGUGUCUCUGAUGAUACCUGUGGUUAUUCAGUUGGUUGAGCCUGCCCACUGGUGUGACUUAGAAGACGGGGGGGGGGGGGGGGGGGGGGUUGUCGUUGUACAGUGCAUACUCAUCCAUGGAUAUGCCCUUUCGUGUUUAGUGGCCUAUGACCAAGACACACUGCUCUUAAGUGUUUAUUUCAGAGGAAGAAGGGUAAACAGCCACCAUUCUUGAAUCUGCAUCUUGUUCUCUGCAACAGGUUUUCUUUAAAUGCAGGACACAGGAUGGGAAAGGGUUUCGCUGCUAGUUACUGAGAGGUUCGCAGGAAGGUGACUGAGUGAUGCACACGUGAGUGGCAGGUCCCGGAAGUGUGGGUUUGUGGACCGCAUGGUUGCAUGUGAACUGGAUGCCUCAGCUCCAGAACUUUGGGGGAUUUCUCGUGGUGUCCACUUAACCCCCCUCCCUCCCAGAUCCUAGUAGGCUCGAUGGGGGUCACGUUGUUUCCUCUUCCGCCCUCAGCAGAGAAACUGAAGGAAAGGACAUUAAAUUGAAUGCAGUCAAUUUGAGCACUAAAAAAUUUCCAGGAUCAAUGGUGGUGCUAAACUAUCUCCAUGUUUCUAUUAUUUUUAAUAGUGGGUUUUUUUUUUAUUAUUAUUAUUGUUCUCAUCACAAAAAUGCAGUGUCCUUGGGGAAGGGAUCCAGCCUCUUGGCCUGUACCUUUCCAGGUGUCCUUUAUCAUUUUGACGGGACUCUUUGGUCUGCAGAAAUACUAUGACUUGGCAUGCUUCUAGACUGUAAGAUUUGGGUUGUUUUGUUUUGUAUUUUGUUUAUGUUUACAUGCAUCUUCUUGUAUUUCCCUGAAAAUUAAAUAAAGUUUUUGACCUUUUUAACUCAA